UACGUAGGCAGCAAGCGUUGUUCGGAGUUACUGGGCGUAAAGAGUGCGUAGGCGGUUUCGUAAGUUUGGUGUGAAAUCUCCCGGCUUAACUGGGAGGGUGCGCCGAAAACUGCGGGGCUGGAGUGUGGGAGAGGUAAGCGGAAUUCCUGGUGUAGCGGUGAAAUGCGUAGAUAUCAGGAGGAACACCGGUGGCGAAGGCGCCACUCUGGGCCGAAACUGACGCUGAGGAGCGAAAGCGUGGGUAGCAAACAGG
RNAcentral lists this ribosomal RNA (253 nucleotides) under uncultured bacterium. RNAcentral's name for it is "partial 16S ribosomal RNA". It matches the Rfam family "Bacterial small subunit ribosomal RNA", at positions 524 to 776 of the family's 1533-position model. The record is from RNAcentral.